UUGUAGCUCAAUGGUAGAGCGUCCGACUACUGUGCGGAAGGUCACAGGUUCGACUAAUGUGGUCAAAA
This is a non-coding RNA of Desmophyllum pertusum, 68 nucleotides long. The record is from the annotation of a GenBank genome assembly. Lineage: Eukaryota; Metazoa; Cnidaria; Anthozoa; Scleractinia; Caryophylliidae.